Molecule: unclassified non-coding RNA, 357 nt
Filed under: soil metagenome
Description: partial contains 5.8S ribosomal RNA, internal transcribed spacer 2, and large subunit ribosomal RNA
Rfam family: 5.8S ribosomal RNA (bases 1-120)
Source: RNAcentral
GAUGAAGAACGCAGCGAAAUGCGACAAGUAAUGUGAAUUGCAGAAUUCAGUGAAUCAUCGAAUCUUUGAACGCACAUUGCGCCCGUCAGUAUUCUGGCGGGCAUGCCUGUUCGAGCGUCAUUACGCCCCUCAAGUCCCCUGUGGACUUGGUGUUGGGGAUCGGCGAGGCUGGUUUUCCAGCACAGCCGUCCCUUAAAUUAAUUGGCGGUCUCGCCGUGGCCCUCCUCUGCGCAGUAGUAAAACACUCGCAACAGGAGCCCGGCGCGGUCCACUGCCGUAAAACCCCCCAACUUUUUAUAGUUGACCUCGAAUCAGGUAGGACUACCCGCUGAACUUAAGCAUAUCAAUAAGGGAGGA